CACAUACGAAAAGGCCCACGGCCACUACCUUAAAGCAAAAAGAGGAGAGAAGCUGGAGACAGAUGAGGAGACCAUGAAAAGAAAAAGAAAGCCAAACAUGAAAUUCAUCCAAUCCAGUGAUGAAGAAGAUGACCGUCCCUAUUUCCCUCCGGCUCCAAAAAUUCGGCGACUGCCAGAGAAAAUUUCUGUACCAAAUUCAGAGUUUACCAGUCAGGCACCACAGGUCCCAACCACCACCACCCUGCCUCUACCACCACCACCACAACUCCCACCUCUACCACC
This is a long non-coding RNA of Neoarius graeffei (lesser salmon catfish), 282 nucleotides long. RefSeq lists it as uncharacterized. The transcript is spliced from 3 exons. Lineage: Eukaryota; Metazoa; Chordata; Actinopteri; Siluriformes; Ariidae. The record is from RefSeq and is a predicted model, not a curated record.